RNAcentral lists this ribosomal RNA (343 nucleotides) under uncultured bacterium. Its description in RNAcentral is "bacterial SSU rRNA". It matches the Rfam family "Bacterial small subunit ribosomal RNA", at positions 8 to 334 of the family's 1533-position model. The record is from RNAcentral.
AGGGUUUGAUUCUGGCUCAGGAUGAACGCUGGCGGCGUGCCUAACACAUGCAAGUCGAACGGAGUUAUUUUGGAAAUCUCUUCGGAGAUGGAAUUCAUAACUUAGUGGCGGACGGGUGAGUAACGCGUGAGCAAUCUGCCCUUAGGUGGGGGAUAACAGCCGGAAACGGCUGCUAAUACCGCAUAACACAUUGAAGCCGCAUGGUUUUGAUGUCAAAGAUUUAUUGCCUUUGGAUGAGCUCGCGUCUGAUUAGCUGGUUGGCGGGGUAACGGCCCACCAAGGCGACGAUCAGUAGCCGGACUGAGAGGUUGAACGGCCACAUUGGGACUGAGACACGGCCCAG